Molecule: unclassified non-coding RNA, 256 nt
Filed under: uncultured bacterium
Lineage: Bacteria
Description: contains 16S-23S intergenic spacer region
Rfam family: Bacterial small subunit ribosomal RNA
Source: RNAcentral
UACGGGUGGUGCAAGUGUUACUCUUCUUCAUUGGGCGUAAAGGGUGUGUAGGCGGUAUAACAAGUUUCAAAUGAAAUGAUAAGAAAUAGAAUCUUGUUAAAUUUGAAAAACUGUUAUACUAGAGUCUUAUUAAAGAUUUUGGAACUUUUUAUAGAGAGUUCAAAUGCGGUAGGAUAUAAAAAGGAACAUCUAAGGCGAAGGCAAAAAUCUAGAUAAGUACUGACGUUGAGGCACGAAAGUGUAGGUAUCAAACAGG